CCUACGGGGGGCAGCAGUGGGGAAUAUUGCACAAUGGGGGAAACCCUGAUGCAGCGACGCCGCGUGAGUGAAGAAGUAUCUCGGUAUGUAAAGCUCUAUCAGCAGGGAAGAAAAUGACGGUACCUGACUAAGAAGCCCCGGCUAACUACGUGCCAGCAGCCGCGGUAAUACGUAGGGGGCAAGCGUUAUCCGGAUUUACUGGGUGUAAAGGGAGCGUAGACGGCGCUGCAAGUCCGGAGUGAAAGCCCAUGGCUUAACCAUGGUACUGCUCUGGAAACUGUGGAGCUUGAGUGCGGGAGGGGCAGGCGGAAUUCCUAGUGUAGCGGUGAAAUGCGUAGAUAUUAGGAGGAACACCGGCGGCGAAGGCGGCCUGCUGGACCGUAACUGACGUUGAGGCUCGAAAGCGUGGGGAGCAAACAGGAUUAGAUACCCGUGUAG
Molecule: ribosomal RNA, 438 nt
Filed under: uncultured bacterium
Lineage: Bacteria
Description: bacterial SSU rRNA
Rfam family: Bacterial small subunit ribosomal RNA
Source: RNAcentral